Molecule: long non-coding RNA, 256 nt
Organism: Dicentrarchus labrax (European seabass)
Lineage: Eukaryota; Metazoa; Chordata; Actinopteri; Moronidae
Exons: 3
Source: RefSeq, a predicted model, not a curated record
GAGUGACAUGUCAUAGCAUCAUUUUAUUCCUGAUUACAUGAGAUUGAUGCUGUAGGAAGCUGUCUUUAAUGUUUUGGAAUACUAUACAAAGCGGGUCAUUUAGGAGGAUCUACUGCAGAAAUGGAAUAUAAUAUUCAGAGGCAGCACCUUCAUAUUGUGGAGUGUAAUGAACAUUUGAGCCCCUAAGGAUUGCUAGGAGCACUGUAGACCUUUGAUUCCCAGCCUUUUUCAUCAGAUGUACCUCCACGGCCCAGUC